Molecule: long non-coding RNA, 872 nt
Organism: Trifolium pratense (red clover)
Lineage: Eukaryota; Viridiplantae; Streptophyta; Magnoliopsida; Fabales; Fabaceae
Exons: 3
Source: RefSeq, a predicted model, not a curated record
AAUAAGAGCUUAGAAGAUGCACUUCUCCAAAAAUAAAUAAAAAGUCAAGCAAAUGAAUAUCAAUCUUCACUAAUUUCUUUUUCAUUAAACAAAAAACAGCAGCACCACAUACAUACUUAUCAAAAGCAUUGUUAUCAUUUUAUUUUUCACUAAUUAAUGCAAUAAUAUGUUUUUUCCUUUCAGGAUACAUAAAGAUACAAACAAAAAUGAGAAGAAAACAAGAAACAGAGAUACAUACAGAUACAAAUAAAUAUGAGGAGGAAAAAAAGAAAGAAAGUUUGAUUUAGGAGCUUAGACAAAGAAGCAAACCUCUCAUACAAAGAUGUAAAAAGAAAAGAAAGAAAGUAUGUUUCUGGCACAGUGAUACAAUUUCUAGCACGAUUCCGAUUCGGUGGUUACAUUUUCCGGCGCGGUGGCUACAUUUUCCGGCGCGGUGGCUAUUGGCAAAUGUAUUCCGAUCUUAAUUUUUCGUUCUGGAUUUUGUGGAUGAGAAGGAGGAGAGCCUUUUUAUAGUGAUGAUUUUUUAAAUGGUGGUGUGUGGUGAUCAAAAUCUAGAUCUAAACAAAUUGAAAGCACCACUCUAACAACAACAAAAAAGCAAAACAAAAGAGAAAGAUAAAGAAGAAGGUUGAAUAGGAAGAUAGAGGAUGAGAUUUGAUGGUAGCAAAAUCAAGUUGGAGGCAUUGGAUUUGGUGGCCGGCGGCUAGGGUUUGUUUGUGGAAAACAACUUCUCAAAACUUCUUUCUUGAAGAGAGAGAAAGAAAUUAACAAAUGCUAUGGAUUUGUGAAAUAAAAAAUACGUUAGAGAAAAUAGAAUGAAUCCUAUGGACUUCAAAUAAAAUUAAAUCUAGCCUAUGGACUCCAAAACAAAA